AUGCCGUCCCACAGAUCAGCAGCUGCAGCUGCACCUGUACUAGCAGUGCUAGUAGUAUGGCUCGGCGGGGUGCUGCUUGGAGUUGGAGCAGCACUGCCCACACAGCCUAGCAGCAGGUGCCAGAGAGAAUGCGGCGGCGUACACAUCCCUUACCCGUUCGGCAUCGUCGGGCCCGGGCCCGAAUCGCCCGAUCCCGACAACUGCGCCAUGCCUGGCUUCGGCCUGACCUGCAACGAGACCGGGGUUAAUGGUGGCCGCACGCCAUUUUAUUACGACCUGGAGGUCGUCGGCGUCUCGCUGCAGCAGGGUCAGGCCCGGAUGAAGAUGAGCAUCUCAACCUACUGCUACAACAACGCCACCCAGGGCAUGGACCCCGUCCCGUGGGGGCUCGACCUCACGGGCACGCCCUACAGGUUCGCCCACACCAACAAGUUCACCGUCAUCGGCUGCCAGACGCUGGCGUACAUCGUGGGCGAGCGCGCCGACGAGUACACCAGCGGCUGCGUGGCCAUGUGCCGGAGGGGAGGCGACGGCGACGUCAGGUCGGCCUCACCAACGGCUCCUGCUCCGGGAUAGGGUGCUGCCAGACUGCCAUCCCCAGGGGGCUGCAGUACUACGACGUGAGGUUCCCCUCCACCUUCAACACCACGGAGAUCCACGACGUCAGCCCCUGCAGCUACGCCGUGCUCAUGGACGACUCCGACUUCACCUUCCAAGCGAGCUACGCGACCUUGCCGGGGUUCAACAACACCUUCACCGGAGAGGCGCCGCUCGCGGUGGACUGGGUUGUCGGAGAGGAGUCGUGCGACGCGGCGCGCAAGGAUCCCUCCCCUACGCUUGCCUCGGCGACCACAGCGAGUGCUUCGACUCGCUCAAUGGACCCGGCUACUUCUGCAACUGCUUCAAAGGCUUCCACGGCAAUCCUUACCUGCAAGAUCCGGAGCUAGGAUGCAAAGAUAUUAACGAGUGCAUGGACCUGGUGAAAUACCCUUGCAAUGUGCCUGGAACUUGCCAAAAUUUUCUUGGCGGAUUCGAGUGUCGUUGCCCCAAGCAUACCAAAGGCGACGCCCAAAAUGGGACGUGCGACGGAAACCACACAUUUGGUAUUGGAGAAAAUCUCGGCAUUGGAGCCUUUGGCGUUGUUUUGGUUGGCCUGGUUUGUAUCCUCGCAGUAGAAAUCAUCCGUCACAAAAGGAGUAUCAAAAGACAAGAUCUGAUUAGACAGAGUGACGAAUACUUUCAACAGCACAGAGGCCAGAUACUGUCAGAAAUGAUGGGGGUAGAGCGUAACAUCGGGUUCACCGUCUAUGCCCGAGGAGCGAUCGAGGUAGCAACAAACGUGUUCGACAAGGAGAGCAUCAUCGGGGAAGGAGGGCAGGGGACCGUGUACAAGGCGGUCCUCGACGUCGAAGGCAAGGCCACACUUGUGGCAGUAAAAAGAUGCAAGGAGGUGGACGAGAGCAAGAGGAAGGACUUCGUGCAGGAGUUGGUGAUACUCGGCCGCGUCGACCAUCCCAACAUCGUCAAGCUCCUCGGUUGCUGCCUGCAGUUCGAGGUGCCCAUCCUGGUGUACGAGUACGUGAAGAACAAAACCCUGCAGGAGCUAUUGUAUAGCCAGCCGACCUCGUGUCGCGCCACCCUGGGGGCCCGUCUGAGGAUCGCCGUGCAGGCCGCCGGAGCACUGGCGUACCUGCACUCGCUGGCGCACCCGAUACUCCACGGCGACGUGAAGCCCGCCAACAUCCUUCUCAGCGACGGAUGGGGCGCCAAGGUGUCUGACUUCGGAUGCUCCACCAUCGAUGAGAAGACCCAGGUGGUGGCCAGAGGCACAGCGGGCUACGUUGACCCAGAGUACCUGCUUAAGUACCAGGUCACCCACAAGAACGACGUCUGCAGCUUUGGGGUCCUCCUUCUGGAGCUCCUAACCGGGAAGAAGCCGAUGUCAAAGCAACGGAAGAGCCUCAUGGUGAUGGUUCAGGAGUCUAUGGAGGAUGGCACGCUCCAUGAACUCCUUGAAAGUGAAAUAGUCGGUGAUGCUAGCAUGGGAGUGGCCCUUCAGGCUGUGGAGCUGGCGAAUCGAUGCUUAGGUAUGCCGGGGAACAGGAGGCCUGCGAUGAGGCGCGUUGCAGAGGAGCUCAAGCAGCUUGCUGACCAAGUGCAGCAGCCGUUGGUUUUGGAGUGUCACAGCCUCACUGUCACAGAUAUGGGGAGCUCCAUGUCAUCUGAGAAUGACACCACCGGGGUUUUUAGCCUUGAGAAGAAAGCUGCAUUGAGCAUAGAAUCCGCUAGAUGA
RNAcentral lists this ribosomal RNA (2293 nucleotides) under Triticum aestivum (bread wheat). RNAcentral describes it as "partial small subunit ribosomal RNA". Lineage: Eukaryota; Viridiplantae; Streptophyta; Magnoliopsida; Poales; Poaceae. The record is from RNAcentral.